This is a small nuclear RNA of Heterocephalus glaber (naked mole-rat), 97 nucleotides long. NCBI's taxonomy places the organism in Eukaryota, Metazoa, Chordata, Mammalia, Rodentia, Bathyergidae. The record is from Ensembl.
UUGCUUCAGCAGCACAUUUACUAAAAUUGUACAGAGAAGAUUAGCGUGGCCCCAACACAGGGAUGACACAUAAAUUCGUGAAGUGUUCUAUAUUAAA